AAUUAUAAGAGUUUGAUCCUGGCUCAGGAUAAACACUAGCGAUUAGCAUAACACAUGCAAGUCGAGGGGUAAUAUAAUAGUAAAAAAGGUUAAGUUUUUUAUAUUAUAACGACCGGCGUACGGGUGAGUAAAAAAUAUGUAAUUUACCUAUUGUUAGAGUAUAUAUUUAUGAAAAUAAAAGUAAUACUUUAUAGAGUAAUAAAUCAUAAGAUUUAUUAUAAAAGUUUUUAUUAAUAUAGAUAAUGUAGUUAUUAAUGUGGUUAAUUAAUAUGAACGACAGUAGAUAAGCAUAUUUCUGAUUAGUUAGUUGGUGUGGUAAUAGCAUACCAAGACGAUGAUCAGUAGGGGGCCUUAGAGGGUGUACCCCCACAUUGGUACUGAAAUAUGGACCAAACUUCUACGGAAGGCAGCAGUGAGGAAUAUUGGUCAAUGGAGGAAACUCUGAACCAGCUAUUUCGCGUGUAGGAAGACGGUCUUAGGAUUGUAAACUACUUUUGUAUAAAAAUAAAAAAUUUUAUAAGAAUAAUAUAAAAUAUAUUGAAUAUUAUACGAAUAAGUAUCGGCUAACUCUGUGCCAGCAGCCGCGGUAAUACAGAGGAUACAAGUGUUAUCCGGAAUUAUUGGGUUUAAAGGGUGCGUAGACGGAAUAUUAAGUUAAUAAUGAAAUCUUAUAACUUAAAUAUAAAAUUGUUAUUAAUACUAAUAAUCUAGAGAUAUAAUGGAGUAAUUGGAAUAUGUAGUGUAGCGGUAAAAUGCAUAGAUAUUACAUAGAACACCAAAAGCGAAGGCAGAUUACUAAUUAUAUACUGACGUUGAGGCACGAAAGCGUGGGUAGCAAACAGGAUUAGAUACCCUGGUAGUCCACGCUGUAAACGAUGAUCACUAAUUAUUGGAUAAUUUAUUUUUUCAGUAAUCAAGCGAAAGUGAUAAGUGAUCCACCUGGGGAGUACGAUCGCAAGAUUGAAACUCAAAGGAAUUGACGGGGACCCGCACAAGCGGUGGAGCAUGUGGUUUAAUUCGAUAGUACGCGAGAAAUCUUACCAAGGUUUAAAUGUAUAACGAAUAAUUUAGAAAUAGAUUAGGCUUAUUUAAGUUAUAAUAAAAUAACGAGAAUAAGACGGUAUACAAGAUGCUGCAUGGUUGUCGUCAGCUCGUGCUGUGAAGUGUUAGGUUAAGUCCUUUAACGAGCGCAACCCUUAUUAUUAUUUGCUAACAGGUAAAGCUGAGAUAUAUGAUAAUACAGCUAAUGUAAAUUAGAGGAAGGUGAGGAUGACGUCAAAUCAUCAUGGCUCUCAUAUCUUGGGCUACACACGUGCUACAAUGGUUAAUACAGAGAGUUGCGAGUAGGUAACUAUAAGCUAAUCUUUAAAAUUAAUCUCAGUUCGGAUUGAAGUCUGUAACUCGACUUUAUGAAGUUGGAAUCGCUAGUAAUCGCGUAUCAGCAUUGACGCGGUGAAUAGGUACUCGGGUCUUGUACACACCGCCCGUCAAGCCAUGGAAAUUAAUUUUAUUUGAAGUAUAUACUUAAAUAAUAUAUAUUAAAGUAAAAUUAGUAACUAGGGCUAAGUCGUAACAAGGUAGCCGUAUCGGAAGAUGUGGCUGGAAAAUUACAUUU
RNAcentral lists this ribosomal RNA (1615 nucleotides) under Candidatus Shikimatogenerans bostrichidophilus. RNAcentral describes it as "bacterial SSU rRNA". It matches the Rfam family "Bacterial small subunit ribosomal RNA". Lineage: Bacteria; Pseudomonadati; Bacteroidota; Flavobacteriia; Flavobacteriales. The record is from RNAcentral.